This 1277-nucleotide long non-coding RNA is filed under the name Vigna radiata. RNAcentral's name for it is "long non-coding RNA (VRAD_LNC002430)". The record is from RNAcentral. Lineage: Eukaryota; Viridiplantae; Streptophyta; Magnoliopsida; Fabales; Fabaceae.
AUUCAUAUAUUAAGACAAUCAUACUUCAAUCUUGAAAACUUGGAUUAAAAACAACAAAAUUCAGACCAUAAUUCGAAUGGAAACAGAUCCAAAACAAAAAGAUAGGCUGAUAUAACCUAUUGCAUCCACUAACUACCACAAAACCCAAAUCACUGUUUUGAUGUAAACCAUCUAGCGCAAUCUUCUUGCUUCCCUCUCAGAUUCGAGUAGGGUGAGAAUGUCUCCUUCUCUCACAGGUCCUUUCACAUUCCUCAUGAUGUGACGAUUCUGAUCAUCCAAAAACUUCACUCUAACCUGGGUCACCUGCCCUCUGGAUCCAGUACGACCCAUAACUUUAACAACAAGAGCAUGCUUCACCUGAGACUCCAUCCUGCUCACACACAAACAAAGCUUUUGAGAUGAAAGUGGACACAAUUAGGUUUAUUGUAUGACAGAUAAACCACAAUAAUCCUAACAGAAAGUAAAAAUUGAAUACAUGCAAACUGACAUGAAAUGCCAAAAAUAUAUCCACAGAUUCACAUAAAAGCACACGACUAUACCUGUGAUUAGAUAAAGAAUAAAUAAAUAUUAACAUCACGCACACAGGAAAAAAGAAAAUCUAGUCCAGCAAUAAUAUAAAUAACAAAUUUUCACCAAAUAUAUGUACGCUUUGUUCCACAAAUUAUACAUAAGACCCACCAAAUAUAUGUAGGCUUUCGUUGGAGGAGGGCUAAACGAAUAUUAAAUUCAACAUGAGAUCCACCAAACAGUUGACGAUUUGGAACAGUAAAUGAUUUCCGACGGUCAAAUUUUCAAAUGAAGAAGAUUAAGGAAUAUAACAAAUGACAAAAAGUAUAUAAAUGGAUAAAUCCAACUGAGCAUUUGUUAAACCAUUCGGGUAUACGCUAAUUUACCAAACAAGCCACAAACUUGCCUAAAAAAGUAUAGAAUCAGUCAAAACUAUGUGAUCCCCAAUCGAGAACAAAAAAUCAACCACAAAUUCCAUGUCACGUAGAAGACAAUAAUUCCGGAAUGAGGCCGCAAACGCAGUAACAGAUAACAAUACACUUCACCGUAUUUCAAAACUCAAAUUAAGAAAAGCAAAUCAUAAAAAAAUUUCAAAUCACGCAAACGGGAAGCUAUUGAAGCAAGAGAAAUACAUAAAAAAAUAACUAAUUAGAGAAAAGGGAAGAGUUGUUGAUAUAAAUCGAUAAAUCGAUAGGGCGAGUUCUCACCUGAAGUAGAAGACGAGUGAAGGAAGUGGCUAGGGUUUUGCGAUGCCUGCUAACACUAUCACG